RNAcentral lists this long non-coding RNA (277 nucleotides) under Mytilus galloprovincialis (Mediterranean mussel). Lineage: Eukaryota; Metazoa; Mollusca; Bivalvia; Mytilida; Mytilidae. The record is from RNAcentral.
GAUGAAAUAAGUUCGUUAAGAUUUAAAGAUGUAGUUAUACAUGACAAUUAUUUGAUUUUGUAUAUUAACAAAAGUAAAACCGAUCAGUAUCGUCAAGGAAACGAAAUUCUCAUUUCGAAAGGUUUAUCCAUAGCUUGUCCAUAUGUUAUGUUCAGAAGAUAUUUAGAAUUAGCCAAUUUCGAUUUUGACUCCAAUAAAUAUUUAUUCAGACAGAUUUGCAGAUCAGGCAAUAAUUGUAAACUUAUAGAUAAAGAUAAAAAGCUAAGCUAUACGGCGG